This 390-nucleotide ribosomal RNA is filed under the name uncultured bacterium. Its description in RNAcentral is "bacterial SSU rRNA". It matches the Rfam family "Bacterial small subunit ribosomal RNA", at positions 28 to 415 of the family's 1533-position model. The record is from RNAcentral.
GACGAACGUUGGCGGCGUGCUUAAUACAUGCAAGUCAACUGAAGCGACGGUAGUAAUACUGUCGUGGAGGUGGCGCACGGGUGAGUAACACGUAGGUAAUCUGCCUUCAGGUCUGACAUAACUCCGAGAAAUCGAAGCUAAUAUCAGAUGAUGCAGCGGCUUGACAUCAAGACAGUUGUUAAAGCUUCGGCGCCUGAAGAUGAGCCNGCGUCUGAUUAGCUAGUUGGCGGAGUAAUAGCCCACCAAGGCUUCGAUCAGUAGCUGGUCUGAGAGGAUGAUCAGCCACACUGGAACUGAGACACGGUCCAGACUCCUACGGGAGCAGCAGUAAGGAAUAUUGCUCAAUGGGAAGAAAUCCUGAAGCAGCAACGCCGCGUGAAGGAUGAAGGG